GCCAAAUGGCCAAUUGGCUAGUGCUCUGGUCUUAGGUACCACAGGCUCCAGGUUCGAAUCCUGGCAGUGGUA
This 72-nucleotide transfer RNA is filed under the name Caerostris darwini. Its description in RNAcentral is "tRNA-Leu". Lineage: Eukaryota; Metazoa; Arthropoda; Arachnida; Araneae; Araneidae. The record is from RNAcentral.